This 292-nucleotide unclassified non-coding RNA is filed under the name Hevea brasiliensis (rubber tree). Lineage: Eukaryota; Viridiplantae; Streptophyta; Magnoliopsida; Malpighiales; Euphorbiaceae. The record is from RNAcentral.
CCAAUCUCUCUCCACAGACUUCACACCAGGAGCUCGUCUGAGGAUUUCUGCCUGCUCAUGUGAAAUAUGAGCUGCGAAGCCAUUAAUUAGAUGACGGUAGCUGUAGAUUUUCUUGUAGGUCCCACGGUCAAAUAGCAAAGCUAGAAGCAUAUCAUGCUUCUUUUCCAAAUGCUGGGCAUAGGAUGUAACUGAUUCACUAGUGGUAUCAAUUUUUUCAUCAGACUCUGCAGCAGUGGCUUCAAAACCAUCAAUGCCACCUUUAUAGCUUAUGACAGGCUCUCCUUCAACUGUC